UACGUAGGUGGCGAGCGUUGUCCGGAUUUACUGGGCGUAAAGGGCGCGUAGGCGGCCACCGCAAGUCAGUUGUGAAAUCUCCGAGCUUAACUCGGAAAGGUCAACUGAUACUGCGGGGCUAGAGUGCGGAAGGGGCAACUGGAAUUCUUGGUGUAGCGGUGAAAUGCGUAGAUAUCAAGAGGAACACCUGCGGCGAAGGCGGGUUGCUGGGCCGACACUGACGCUGAGGCGCGAAAGCUAGGGGAGCGAACGGG
This 254-nucleotide ribosomal RNA is filed under the name uncultured bacterium. RNAcentral's name for it is "partial 16S ribosomal RNA". It matches the Rfam family "Bacterial small subunit ribosomal RNA", at positions 524 to 776 of the family's 1533-position model. The record is from RNAcentral.